This 62-nucleotide transfer RNA is filed under the name Facelina auriculata. Its description in RNAcentral is "tRNA-Ala". The record is from RNAcentral. Lineage: Eukaryota; Metazoa; Mollusca; Gastropoda; Nudibranchia; Facelinidae.
UACUAUACUUUAAAAAGAAGGUUUGGUUUGCAACUAAUUAGUGAGCUUAAGCUCUAGUACCA